UCUAAGCUCCCAGGGUUGUGAGCCCCUGGGAGCGAUCGGCAAGUCGCUAUCAUGGGCCCUACUAGAAGCAAUUUAGCGAUUGGCUCUGGUUGAUUUUUCGGGUCGGUUUGGGUUUGAGAGGCGGUUAGAUGGAAAUAGGCCCACACCACGUAGGCACGGAGGUAGCACAAUCCAAUCCAACAGCUCAAUCUGAAUCCCCAUCCACUCUCCUCUUCCGCGAUGAGGAAGGAGGGGACGCGCCGGAGCCUUGAGGAGCGGACGGUGCCGGAGCUACAGGAGGACGCCGCGGCCCUCGCCGUGUAUCGCGCCGCCGGAUGAGGGCGCACUGCAGUGGCGCUGGACGUGUCGUCCGCCGCUGUAGGGCUAGGUCUCCUAUCUCGACCCUGCCAAGAUCGAGAAGGGAGGAUGCAGGCAAAAUAUGUAGGUUUUAGCACCCAAGACUUAACUGAUUUCAUUUCAUGGUGGCCUGGUGCAGGAUGGCAUGAUGCUGUGUGAGGUAGGAGUGGAUCAUCUAAGGUAACAUAGGCCUCCCCAACACUUGCUUCAUCCUAAUUCUUAGCCGUCUUUGCCAUUUCUUUUGCGAUUAUGGUUGCAUUAUAGCAUGUUCAUUUGGCGCCAAAAUGCGCUUGGAGUAUCAAUUUUACCAUCCAACUCAUUUUUGUGCUCAAAAUUUUCUAUUUUACAAUUCGUGGUUUGUACUGUGUAAACAAGAAGAACGAAGAAGCACUUACCUGUGAUGUAUUUACAAGCAGCGGCAGUAACCAGAACCUGAAAAAAAAAUCUUUGUACCUUUUAUUGUUUCGUUUAUAAGUAAUCACAUUUAGAGUUGUUCCAAGAAACAACAUGGAAUAUAUUAUUACUGCACAUAAAUACAGACUCAAACAUUCCAUAGCGGGGGUUCUCUCCUAUUGAUUCCUUUGAAUUUUAUUAAAUUACACCAGUUUGUGAUGCUUAUUUAUAAUUUUUUUAUGAAAUCUAUUUGGUUUUCUUUUGUUGGGUUAAAUAGUUACACCUCUUGAGUAUAUUAUAAUGUAUGUAUUAUGAUCUAUAUCAGGUUAGAAAAGCAGGUUGAGCAAUGUAGAUAAAUUCCAUCGUUGUAUUACUAUGUUCUUUAAACAAAAAACUUCUGAUUAGUAGUUUCGUUUACCUUACUUAUAAUGACACAAAUGCAGAAGACGAUAUGUGUAUGUGUAUAGGGAAGUUCAAAUUAUUAUAUUUCAAGAGCGUAUAGUGUUCAAUAUUGUUUGGUGCAUCUACUGUAUAAACUGCUGCAGAUAAAUUUGUAUGUAUGUUCGUCCAAUAAAAAAAAUGAGAUUACUGAUGUUGUUUCGUAUUUUCCGCAUGUGUUGUAUGGACUGAUAUCUCAGUCCUGCCUUUAUGAUUAAUUGCAGUGCACCUGAAAUCGAAACUAAUGGUGCGCUCUACUUCUCCACAUGGUUUGGGUGCAUGUACCAUGUUGUUAGAGCAUCCAUGACGCAAGGCGCUUACCCAGGCGCUGAAGUAAUUAGUAGUAUAAAUAGAAUAAAAUCAAUUGUGUAGCAAAUUACGUAUCACUGCAUUGCUGGGCUCUUAUUUGCGGUGCUAAUUCCGCCUAUCCUUCCACACCACAAGCCAGGGAAAGCAAGAUAGCGUCGGUACCAUCUUUUUUGCAUCGAUCGGGAUUGAAGGCAUCAACCGCCGAUCAUCCAAGAUUCUGAUCACCCUUUUUAGCACCGUGUUGCGGCUGCUCUUAGAGGCUUGUGAUAGUUUACUUGUUCACACGUUGCAUGUGCAAAGAAUUGAAAGAGUUGGUUGCUAUGAUGCGCUACCAUGAUGUCGAUCGCCAACUCA
This is a long non-coding RNA of Lolium rigidum, 1830 nucleotides long. RefSeq lists it as uncharacterized. The transcript is spliced from 2 exons. The record is from RefSeq and is a predicted model, not a curated record. NCBI's taxonomy places the organism in Eukaryota, Viridiplantae, Streptophyta, Magnoliopsida, Poales, Poaceae.